Molecule: long non-coding RNA, 822 nt
Organism: Gasterosteus aculeatus aculeatus (three-spined stickleback)
Lineage: Eukaryota; Metazoa; Chordata; Actinopteri; Perciformes; Gasterosteidae
Source: Ensembl
CUCCGGUUGAAGCUUCACGGAUCACAUAGCGGUAGCGAGGCGAAUCUUCUGUUGUACACGAUCACACCAGCUGCGAUCAGCAGCAGUACAAAGAAGAACGUCAGGCCGACGGCUAGAUCGGUACGAGAGCUGCCGGGAGCAGAACAUGAGGCGGUGUCGUUUCCAGGGACACAGGUCAUAUUGGCAAUCAUGAUCUGAAGGUGAAACAGCUCCACUGUGCCUUCAGUGCCUGUUAGGACAACCAGAAAUAAACAACCAUGGUAGGUGCGGUGGUUGGACUCCUGGCAAAAUGAAUGUUUGAAAUGUUGAAUGUCUCUCAUGAAUUUUCAUUUGCAUGUGUUGUUUUUACUGAGCGUGAUAUAUUAUCAUACAUCAACAAUAUAUUAUCAUAAAACCCAUGGGCCUCUUUCUGUUCUGCAUGCAGCUGGAAAUUAAAUUAUCACUGCUAUACGAAAACCAGAACAGAUAUUGAAAGGGUUUCCCCCCCAAGUGAUUUAUCAUAUAAUUCAUUGAGGGAAUGUAGAAACAAAUAUAUGACAGAAAUACUUACAAUUCAUCUAAUACCUCAUGUGUCUGCAGUAAGUAUCUAACAGAAUGUUGGAAUGUGGUCAUCUAGAAAGCAGUGGGGGACAGUAUUGUAGUAUUAGUAGUAGUAUUGUAGUAUCUUCAGGUCAGCAGUGCACACACACCUGGACACAUCUGGGGAGGAGGAAGACAUUGACACUCUCUGGCCUGAGACAUUGUCACAAACAGUUUGAUCCUCGACUCUCUCAGAACUCUCAAUUGAGGUUAUUUACCGUAAACAUAUUUAAAAGUUCCUCA